This 406-nucleotide ribosomal RNA is filed under the name uncultured bacterium. Its description in RNAcentral is "partial 16S ribosomal RNA". It matches the Rfam family "Bacterial small subunit ribosomal RNA", at positions 30 to 526 of the family's 1533-position model. The record is from RNAcentral.
AUUGAACGCUGGCGGCAGGCCUAACACAUGCAAGUCGAGCGAGUGGCGGACGGGUGAGUAAUGUAUGUGCAUCUGCCCGAUGGAGGGGGAUAACUACUGGAAACGGUAGCUAAUACCGCAUACCAUCGGAUGUGCCCAGAUGGGAUUAGCUAGUGGGUGGGGUAAAGGCUCACCUAGGCGACGAUCCCUAGCUGGUCUGAGAGGAGGAACAGUCACACUGGAACUGAGACACGGUCCAGACUCCUACGGGAGGCAGCAGUGGGGAAUAUUGCACAAUGGGCGCAAGCCUGAUGCAGCCAUGCCGCGUGUAUGAAGAAGGCCUUCGGGUUGUAAAGUACUUUCAGCGGGGAGGCGUUACUCGCAGAAGAAGCACCGGCUAACUCCGUGCCAGCAGCCGCGGUAAUAC